Molecule: unclassified non-coding RNA, 213 nt
Filed under: Hevea brasiliensis (rubber tree)
Lineage: Eukaryota; Viridiplantae; Streptophyta; Magnoliopsida; Malpighiales; Euphorbiaceae
Source: RNAcentral
AUGCAAUAUUUGUCUGGCUGAAUAAUUGUACAAUUUCCUGUAAAUUUAUAGUAUGGGCCAUGUUCUCUCUUUUAAUGUGAAGGCAAACCCCUCAUAGAUGCAUGCCCAAAUCUGCUUUUUGGGCUAAUGAAGUAUUCAAGUUACAAACUGUGCUUUUCAUAAUUUAUCAUGCACAUGAAACCAUUGGAUUGUGGACGAUUUAAGUUAGCAGGU